Molecule: ribosomal RNA, 536 nt
Filed under: Penicillium sp. TW-2011
Lineage: Eukaryota; Fungi; Ascomycota; Eurotiomycetes; Eurotiales; Aspergillaceae
Description: eukaryotic LSU rRNA
Rfam family: 5.8S ribosomal RNA (bases 173-326)
Source: RNAcentral
ACGAGCUGAAGGCAUCUGGGUCACCUCCCACCCGUGUUUAACGAACCCUGUUGCUUCGGCGGGCCCGCCUCACGGCCGCCGGGGGGCUCUCUGCCCCCGGGCCCGCGCCCGCCGAAGACCCCUGUGAACGCUGUCUGAAGUUGCAGUCUGAGAAACUAGCUAAAUUAGUUAAAACUUUCAACAACGGAUCUCUUGGUUCCGGCAUCGAUGAAGAACGCAGCGAAAUGCGAUAAUUAAUGUGAAUUGCAGAAUUCAGUGAAUCAUCGAGUCUUUGAACGCACAUUGCGCCCUCUGGUAUUCCGGAGGGCAUGCCUGUCCGAGCGUCAUUGCUGCCCUCAAGCACGGCUUGUGUGUUGGGCCCUCGUCCCCCCGGGGACGGGCCCGAAAGGCAGCGGCGGCACCGCGUCCGGUCCUCGAGCGUAUGGGGCUUCGUCACCCGCUCGUCCAGGCCCGGCCGGCGCCAGCCGACCCCCCCUCAAUCUUUAACCAGGUUGACCUCGGAUCAGGUAGGGAUACCCGCUGAACUUAAGCAUAUC